AGUGAACGCUGGCGGUAGGCCUAACACAUGCAAGUCGAACGGCAGCACAGUAAGAGCUUGCUCUUACGGGUGGCGAGUGGCGGACGGGUGAGGAAUACAUCGGAAUCUACUUUUUCGUGGGGGAGAACGUAGGGAAACUUACGCUAAUACCGCAUACGACCUACGGGUGAAAGCAGCGGAUCUUCGGAUCUUGCGCGAUUGUAUGAGCCGAUGUCGGAUUAGCUAGUUGGCGGGGUAAAGGCCCACCAAGGCGACGAUCCGUAGCUGGUCUGAGAGGAUGAUCAGCCACACUGGAACUGAGACACGGUCCAGACUCCUACGGGAGGCAGCAGUGGGGAAUAUUGGACAAUGGGCGCAAGCCUGAUCCAGCCAUACCGCGUGGGUGAAGAAGGCCUUCGGGUUGUAAAGCCCUUUUGUUGGGAAAGAAAAGCAGCAGGUUAAUACCCCGCUGUUCUGACGGUACCCAAAGAAUAAGCACCGGCUAACUUCGUG
This 492-nucleotide ribosomal RNA is filed under the name uncultured bacterium. Its description in RNAcentral is "partial 16S ribosomal RNA". It matches the Rfam family "Bacterial small subunit ribosomal RNA", at positions 29 to 507 of the family's 1533-position model. The record is from RNAcentral.